GGGGAAUCUUCCGCAAUGGGCGCAAGCCUGACGGAGCAACGCCGCGUGAGUGAAGAAGGUCUUCGGAUCGUAAAGCUCUGUUGACGGGGACGAACGUGCGGAGUGCGAAUAGCGCUUUGUAAUGACGGUACCUGUCGAGGAAGCCACGGCUAACUACGUGCCAGCAGCCGCGGUAAUACGUAGGUGGCGAGCGUUGUCCGGAAUCAUUGGGCGUAAAGGGAGCGCAGGCGGGCCGGUAAGUCUUACUUAAAAGUGCGGGGCUCAACCCCGUGAUGGGAGAGAAACUAUCGGUCUUGAGUACAGGAGAGGAAAGCGGAAUUCCCAGUGUAGCGGUGAAAUGCGUAGAUAUUGGGAAGAACACCAGUGGCGAAGGCGGCUUUCUGGACUGCAACUGACGCUGAGGCUCGAAAGCCAGGGGAGCGAACGGGAUUAGAUACCCCGGUAGUCCUGGCCGUAAACGAUGGAUACUAGGUGUGGGAGGUAUCGACCCCUACCGUGCCGGAGUUAACGCAAUAAGUAUCCCGCCUGGGGAGUACGACCGCAAGGUUG
This 549-nucleotide ribosomal RNA is filed under the name uncultured bacterium. Its description in RNAcentral is "bacterial SSU rRNA". It matches the Rfam family "Bacterial small subunit ribosomal RNA", at positions 356 to 896 of the family's 1533-position model. The record is from RNAcentral.